UGGAAGUGAAUUUGAACUUUUAUAUGUGGAACACUAUUAAUCUCUUAGGAAUCCAGUGAGGAUCAGCAGUGAAGGCCCAGUGCCACUGUUUAGGUUGUGCAGUCCACCAAACGAGAAACUCGCGCUUGCUGCAUUGAGCAACGUCUGAGGCACUGAGCUGUCACUCGCAAAGUCAGUAGCCAAUGGGAAUGCACCCCUGGAAAAACCCACCCACGCCAGACGUUUGUGCCAGAAUUGCAAACAAAAAUUCAGGCAGCACAAAGGAGAGAGCUGCAGCGUAACAAAGCCUGAUCCACAAGUCUGAUCAGUGAGAAAGAAGCAGGGGGAGCUGUAAAAUAAAGGAUAUGUUAUCAAAAACAUAAAAGGCCAAUCAUUUACUUGAAUACACAAAUGAUUUGUUUGCAAGUUAUAAGUUUUACCUUUGAGAUGACUUUUUUUGCUUCAGUGUGUUUUUCUCUGUCUUAAAUUCAUGUCUUUGCUUGAUACUGAGGAAGUUUUGUUUGAGCUUUUUGGCACAAUAUGGAAAUAUUGAAAAGGAUGUCUCAUUUUUGAAAACAGCUGUCCGUCUCACAAAGCGUCUUUAUCAGAUCUUGUCGUGAAAAGUAACAGGCACCGCCAAACCAAACCCUUGGUCCCUUAACAUUCGAUCAAGUUGCUUGAGCAUUUCAAAGAUGUUACAUGCCACUUUUGGCUCAGCGGAGACUCAAGACAGUUUAUGCUCAAAUUUCCAACAAGACUAAAGUUAAAGAGAUAAUUCACCCAUAAUGAUUUUUUUUCUUUUUCUUUUCUAUUUCUUUCUUUUUUUUUUUUUUUUUUGUUAAGAUUUGUAUGUUUUUUGCAUAAUUGUUGUACCAAGUACUCACCAUGUGCUGCCCUCAGUCCAUGUUGAGGGUAGUUUUACAAGCCUUCAUGGUAAAAACCCUAGCCAUCUUUGAUCCAAUUGGAACUCUCAAGAGUUCCAUUAAAAAAGCUCACACUCAUCUCCACGUCUCCAGUGUCCGGUCAUAUGCUUAGUACAUAAAUAUUGCUAGAUGCGUGUUUUAAACAGAAUUUUUGAUAACAUUUUGCUUGAAGUUAUAGACCUCAUUUUACCCAUUGGCUCAAACAUGGCUAGCAAUUUUGAAAUAUGAGGAUGGACCAUCUUAAGCAUUUAACCCCAGCAUCCUUACAUCUUAUGCAUGACAUCCAAAACCCUGAAUCCUGACAGUUUCAAGGCAUAUCUGCAUCAGCCACAACCCAUAUCAGACACAUCCACACUGCAGCAGUUCAGAUCAGAACCAUCAGUGAGUCAGGUGUAUGCUUGGAGAUUGGAGGCACUGGAAGAGAAGUUCAGCACUAGAUGCAUCAUUAUGCAAGAUUUAUAAUAAAUAUGUUAGAUUCAGAAAUCAGAAAUGUUGUGGUACAAUAAUGGAAAAUAGCCUGUAUCAGGAUACAGUCACUCAUAAUCUGUUGUGUUAUAGAUUAAUGGUGUGAUGGCUAAUAUGGACUGUAUCAUGUCAGUACUGUCAUGGUAUUCUUUGUAGUUGCAUACUGUUAGACAAACACCAGCUAAUUUGGUUUGUAGAAGUUAAAGGUGCCAGGCAAUUUUGUAUGUUGGCAGCCCCAGACGGUAGCAUGUUCACUGUUGAAUUUUGAGGACUUCAUUACCCAGAAGUCCCACAAUGUGGAAGUGGUGACAAAGUUCAGCUGUCAGUAUUGCACACUGAUGUCAAAGGUCUCACGCUCAGUUCCACUGUACCUUCAGAUGCUCUAAUGACCAGAAGUUUAAGAGUCCAGCUGGAAACAAGUAAGACGAAUAGAAAAUGAGAUCUUUUUUUUUUUUUUUUUUUUUUAUGGAGAACUAAAAGUGUGCUAAAACUGAAGGUCCGCUUACCAUCCUUGUGUCCCAGUUAGCCUUAUUGCCGGAGAAAACAUUUUCCUGUCUUUGAGAUUUAAACAUGCAACUCAAACAUCCAUCCAUUUCCUUGUGAUAUUUUGAAUUAAGCUUUUGAUUAAAGCCAAGCUCACGGAGUUUAAAAAAAAAAAAAAAAAAAAUCACAUUUUGGACCCCACAAAUUUCUGUUUGGUGCUAUAUUCAAGUAAAUACCUUGCCUGGUGCAGAUUUAACAGAAGAAAGAUGUCGAGCUGAUGUCAGCUGUCCUGUUGCCAUAGUUCACUUGUCAUGUCCAAGAAUUUUUUUGUCUAGUUUUGAGCCGCCAGUUACGUGAUAUCUACAGUAUAUGGCAAUUAUGUAAUGAUAUGCAUGCAGAACAUAAAUAGCCUAAAAAAGUCUUCCAACUUGAUUUUCCUCAGAGACUUUUAACGUCAGUUUGAAGUGUUUAUGGUGUGCUCUGUCUUUAUCAUUCACAAGCUCUGUCCCAAGAACCUCAGUUUUGUGUAAAAUGUUACAUCACCACAUACAGUGUAACCACAGCCACACUGUUGUGUAGUGCUAAUGGCUUCCAGAAGAGACCCUGUGCAGGUUGGCAAAUUAGCAUUUGCCAAAUGACACUAAAUAUUUGGUGGGUGGAUUUUUGUUGGUGGAGGGUGAAAUAAAAUAGCCUGCAAUUCUGUGGAAACAGAGCUGGCGUGAAAAGGCCCACUGAAGCUACAAAAACAGCAAACAAUUUAAAGUAGAAACAGCUAAGAAAAGAAGAUUAUUUAAUAAAAUGUGGUGACAGGAUGAGAGGGAAAAAGGAAGAAAAAAAAAACAUGACUGCUGAAUUUAUGUCUAAAGCAAGUGGCACUUAAAUUCAUUUGUCAUGGGGACAAAAAAAACUGAAAGCAAUUAACUCUUUGAUUUCUUUCAAAGGUGUGGCAAAAAAGGUAAUUAACCAAUCAGGAAAAAAAUGUUGAAACAUCAGUAAACAAUUAGCAAAAAAAGAGAAAAUUACCAGAAAAUUACCAGAAAAUUUGCAAAAAACAAUUUUUAAAAAUUGCAAAAAAAGUGUAUUUGUAAUUGUUGAAAUUACUGCACAUAUUCAAACGUCAGAUGAGUGAUGUUGAAUUGACGUCAGAUUCCUUUAGCUUAAAUGCUUCUAUAAGGCCGUUCUUAAGCAUUUAAGAAGCAGGAGUCAGCCAACAGGCACUAAGAAUUUGUGGUAAUUGUAAUUAGCAAAAAAAAAAAAAAGUGUGGUAAGAAUCUGAGUGGUCUUUAAAAUGUGGGCAUCCAUUUGCCCCCCUGGCCCUGUGCACUUAUGGCUUGUAGCUGAUGACCAUUCGUUGUGUCUUAGCUGGUGGACCUUGAUGCUGGAAAAAGUUUGACACUUCCCAUUAAAGCUGCUUUGUAUCUCACAGCUCUUGGACGUGAGCUUAUAUUUGGUGUACACCAACUGUCUCUGUUUUGUGUCUUCAGACGGUCUGCUGGGACUGUCUCUGUCCCAGACUACGCUGCAGCGUCAGAGCAGAACAGCAGCUGACUCAACCCCAGCAAGCACCCUGCCUGCUGCCUGCUCAAUCUGAACUUAAGGAACACAUGUGAGGGUGAGGGUGGAAAGCCUUGAAAAAAUAUCCUACAAACACAGAAAUACUGAUUGUAAAUGUUAUACCCAAAUAGAAAUAAAAUAACUGAUGUAAACUCUCUCACCCUUAGAAAUCUGAACAAAUUCACCGGAUUUCUCUCAGAAACGUGGUGGUGGUGUUGGAGGGGAGUGCAAUUUAGUAAGAAAUGAAUCAAAAAUUAGCAAGAAACUACUUAGAAGUUAAAUUCUUUUUUUUUUUUUUUUUUAAUACAAAAAUAUCACAAGAUUAGCAAAAAGGUCAUUGCAAAAUUAGUAAAACAUUACCAGAGAUUUGGUGGUGUUGAUCCUCCGGUGUUACCAGACAGGACUUUUCAUUCAGAUGGAACUAAGAUCUCUGUAGGACUAUUUCUUCAGGGCUUCAAACACCAAACCACCCCCCCCCACCCCCCAGCUCUGUCACAUGCAGGUGCUUUGGUCUGUGGGCUUGUCCUUUGGUUGGUCAGUGUGUGGUUCUUGAUGAUGUUGUUUACGAUGUUUGCUUACAGGUACUGUUGCCAUACACUGCUGAAUAAACUGUGACCCGCACACGACUUCA
Long non-coding RNA from Myripristis murdjan (pinecone soldierfish), 4035 nucleotides. RefSeq lists it as uncharacterized. The transcript is spliced from 2 exons. The record is from RefSeq and is a predicted model, not a curated record. Lineage: Eukaryota; Metazoa; Chordata; Actinopteri; Holocentriformes; Holocentridae.